RNAcentral lists this ribosomal RNA (441 nucleotides) under uncultured bacterium. RNAcentral describes it as "bacterial SSU rRNA". It matches the Rfam family "Bacterial small subunit ribosomal RNA", at positions 338 to 795 of the family's 1533-position model. The record is from RNAcentral.
CCUANGGGCGGCUGCAGUAACGAAUAUUCCACAAUGGGCGCAAGCCUGAUGGAGCAAUGCCGCGUGCAGGAUGAAGCCCCUCGGGGUGUAAACUGCUGUCAGGGUUUAGGAAACAAAUGACCAUACCCAAAGGAAGAGGCGGCUAACUCUGUGCCAGCAGCCGCGGUAAUACAGAGGCCUCGAGCGUUGCGCGGAAUCACUGGGCUUAAAGGGUGCGUAGGCGGACAUACAAGUGCCUUGUGAAAUCCCAGAGCUCAACUCUGGAACUGCUUGGUAGACUGUGUGUCUUGAGGUCGGUAGGGGUCGCUGGAACAGUUGGUGGAGCGGUGAAAUGCGUAGAUAUCAACUGGAACGCCAAAGGUGAAGACAAGCGACUGGGCCGAUUCUGACGCUGAGGCACGAAAGCGUGGGGAGCAAACGGGAUUAGAUACCCCGNUANUC